GACGAACGCUGGCGGCGUGCUUAACACAUGCAAGUCGAACGGAAAGGCCCUGCUUUUGUGGGGUGCUCGAGUGGCGAACGGGUGAGUAACACGUGAGUAACCUGCCCUUGACUUUGGGAUAACUUCAGGAAACUGGGGCUAAUACCGGAUAGGAGCUCCUGCUGCAUGGUGGGGGUUGGAAAGUUUCGGCGGUUGGGGAUGGACUCGCGGCUUAUCAGCUUGUUGGUGGGGUAGUGGCUUACCAAGGCUUUGACGGGUAGCCGGCCUGAGAGGGUGACCGGCCACAAUGGGACUGAGAUACGGCCCAGACUCCAACGGGAGGCAGCAGUGGGGAAUAUUGCACAAUGGGCGGAAGCCUGAUGCAGCAACGCCGCGUGCGGGAUGACGGCCUUCGGGUUGUAAACCGCUUACGCCUGUGACGAAGCGUGAGUGACGGUAAUGGGUAAAGAAGCACCGGCUAACUACGUG
Molecule: ribosomal RNA, 468 nt
Filed under: uncultured bacterium
Lineage: Bacteria
Description: partial 16S ribosomal RNA
Rfam family: Bacterial small subunit ribosomal RNA
Source: RNAcentral